AUGAAAAUGGAACAGGUCUACAGUGCUCCAGAAGUAAUAGAAUAUCAUUUCCUCAUAGGUACCACUGUAUUGGGUGCUUGCUAUUUGUGGAGCAAAAAGAAUGCUGAAGCAAGAAGGCAGCCUCGAAGGGGUGCUGUUCAGAGCCAAUUUACAAUUAUGAAGGAAGCCAGAUUGAAGAAAAUGCCAAAAAGUACAAAAGGGAAGGCCAAACUGAAAGAAUUUCAGAACAUCAGAGUCUGGGCCAUGAUGCACCCAGGCUUCAUGAUAUAUGAGAGAUGUUCACUGUGCCCUCAAGUGGAUUCUUCUCCACCAAUCCAAAAUUUUAUCCCAGGAGACACCAGCAAUCAUUUGCAGGAGAUAUUGAUCAACCAGAGAAUGCACAUUUCUGAACCAGAUCCCUGGUGAGGUUGAUGGGACAGUAGCAGGAAGCUUGUUUUGUGGAUUUGGAAAUGAAAACCCAAGAGGUGAGUGACUUGGGAACACUGAACAUGAUUUCCCCUCUCAGAGAUGAGACCAGGACUAAUGUCUGCCAGCCGAUU
This 539-nucleotide long non-coding RNA is filed under the name Sus scrofa (pig). RNAcentral describes it as "lncRNA (ENSSSCG00040064149.1)". The record is from RNAcentral. Lineage: Eukaryota; Metazoa; Chordata; Mammalia; Artiodactyla; Suidae.